Molecule: ribosomal RNA, 277 nt
Filed under: uncultured eukaryote
Lineage: Eukaryota
Description: partial 18S ribosomal RNA
Rfam family: Eukaryotic small subunit ribosomal RNA
Source: RNAcentral
UAGUCAUAUGCUUGUCUCAGAGAUUAAGCCAUGCAUGUCUAAGUAUAAGCGAUCUUAUACAGCGAAACUGCGAAUGGCUCAUUAAAUCAGUUAUAGUCUACUUGAUCGUAUCUUCUUACAUGGAUAACCGUAGUAAAUCUAGAGCUAAUACAUGCUAAAAAUCCUGGACGCGGCAACGCGGAAGGGACGAGUUUAUUAGAUUAAAAACCGACACCUCUCCGCGAGGGGAGGUAGCACAGGUGAUUCACAGUAACCGAUCGGAUCGUCGGCCCCGCCG